AUACGGGGGGUGCAAGCGUUGUUCGGAAUUAUUGGGCGUAAAGCGCGCGUAGGCGGACCAUUAAGUCUGAUGUGAAAUCCCUCGGCUCAACCGAGGACCUGCAUUGGAUACUGGUGGUCCUGAAUCUCGGAGAGGGUGGCGGAAUUCCCAGUGUAGAGGUGAAAUUCGUAGAUAUUGGGAGGAACACCGGCGGCGAAGGCGGCCACCUGGACGAUGAUUGAUGCUGAGGUGCGAAAGCAUGGGUAGCAAACAGGAUUAGAAACCCUAGUAGUCC
This 274-nucleotide ribosomal RNA is filed under the name uncultured bacterium. RNAcentral describes it as "partial 16S ribosomal RNA". It matches the Rfam family "Bacterial small subunit ribosomal RNA", at positions 523 to 796 of the family's 1533-position model. The record is from RNAcentral.